GAUGAACGCUGGCGGCGUGCCUAAUACAUGCAAGUCGAGCGAACGGACGAGAAGCUUGCUUCUCUGAUGUUAGCGGCGGACGGGUGAGUAACACGUGGAUAACCUACCUAUAAGACUGGGAUAACUUCGGGAAACCGGAGCUAAUACCGGAUAAUAUUUUGAACCGCAUGGUUCAAAAGUGAAAGACGGUCUUGCUGUCACUUAUAGAUGGAUCCGCGCUGCAUUAGCCAGUUGGUAAGGUAACGGCUUACCAAGGCAACGAUGCAUAGCCGACCUGAGAGAGCAGCCACCCAGACGGUGAGAGAGACACGGUCCACCUACGGGCGGGAGCAGUGAGGAGGAUUGCUCCAUGAGGGGACGAAUGAUCAAGGGAGAAAGCCGGGGUGAAGAAGGAGGUCCGUCGGUCAAAAAACCUUGUUUAUAAGGAAAAACAAUAGGUUAAAAUACCGGUGCACUGAUGGCGGCUACAGAAUAAGAAACCACCGGCUACGUG
Molecule: ribosomal RNA, 493 nt
Filed under: uncultured bacterium
Lineage: Bacteria
Description: partial 16S ribosomal RNA
Rfam family: Bacterial small subunit ribosomal RNA
Source: RNAcentral